This 464-nucleotide ribosomal RNA is filed under the name uncultured bacterium. Its description in RNAcentral is "bacterial SSU rRNA". It matches the Rfam family "Bacterial small subunit ribosomal RNA", at positions 329 to 793 of the family's 1533-position model. The record is from RNAcentral.
UGCCAGACUCCUACGGGAGGCAGCAGUGGGGAAUAUUGCACAAUGGGGGAAACCCUGAUGCAGCGACGCCGCGUGAGUGAAGAAGUAUUUCGGUACGUAAAGCUCUAUCAGCAGGGAAGAAAAAAAGUCCUUUGGACUUUGGACGGUACCUGACCAAGAAGCCCCGGCUAACUACGUGCCAGCAGCCGCGGUAAUACGUAGGGGGCAAGCGUUAUCCGGAUUUACUGGGUGUAAAGGGAGCGUAGACGGCAGCACAAGUCUGAAGUGAAAUGCCGGGGCUUAACCCCGGAACUGCUUUGGAAACUGUGCAGCUAGAGUGCAGGAGAGGUAAGUGGAAUUCCUAGUGUAGCGGUGAAAUGCGUAGAUAUUAGGAGGAACACCAGUGGCGAAGGCGGCUUACUGGACUGUAACUGACGUUGAGGCUCGAAAGCGUGGGGAGCAAACAGGAUUAGAUACCCUUGUAA